UACGAAGGGUGCAAGCGUUAAUCGGAAUUACUGGGCGUAAAGCGCGCGUAGGUGGUUCAGUAAGUUGGAUGUGAAAUCCCCGGGCUCAACCUGGGAGCUGCAUCCAAAACUGCUGAGCUAGAGUACGGUAGAGGGUGGUGGAAUUUCCUGUGUAGCGGUGAAAUGCGUAGAUAUAGGAAGGAACACCAGUGGCGAAGGCGACCACCUGGACUGAUACUGACACUGAGGUGCGAAAGCGUGGGGAGCAAACAGG
Molecule: ribosomal RNA, 253 nt
Filed under: uncultured bacterium
Lineage: Bacteria
Description: partial 16S ribosomal RNA
Rfam family: Bacterial small subunit ribosomal RNA
Source: RNAcentral